UAGCAUGGACUAAAAAUCAUAAAAUAGAAUUGUAUUGUUUAUUUCUAUAUUUUUCAGCAAACGUGGUCAUUUGUCACGAGAAAUGUGUUUGUUUUGAACACAAUUUACUUUCUUAUCGCAUUCCCGUGUUCGUCGUUGCAAUCACCUCACGCUGCACGUUGCCGCUUCUUUGCAUCUUUAGUUUUGAUCGCAGGUAACGUGUCAAAUGCUAUUCGCGCCCAAGGUCGAGUGCUAUCGUCGCGAAGGCUUUGCGCAUCUCUUGCUUUCUUAUCACAAACUGUCGCGUCGUUGCUUGCUCGGCUACAGCAUGCGCUAUCGAUGGCUUGCAGGCAGUCUUGUGCCGGUCACUGCUUGAUCCAGGCGUGUUCAUACCAACUUGCUUUGUUUGUUUGGACUUCUGCUUUCUAAAUUUUCAAUAUAUUUCAAUAUAUCCAUUGAUUAAUUGUGUAUACUAGAGUAAUGUUAUUUACUACUUGCGCGUUUAAUGUACAUUAUUGCACAAAAGUGGUAGAUAUUUGUUCGCGUUUCGUGUGCAUACUAGUGCAAGUUAUAUGGUUUGGUGUCGGUCGCUAAAUGAAUCUGGUACAGAAUGGCGGCCCCCCAUAUAGAUUUGUUCAUCAUUAUUCCUGGCACUUGCUGUGCUCUGGUAACUGGACACAAAUUUAUUGCCUCACAACGUACCUCAAAUUGACCGCCACACUUUGCUCUUUUUUCGUUUUUUCAAAACUUUCGGUUGAAAACGGGUCAUUUAUGGAGAAUCCAUCAUGAUAUUUUUAUUUUUAUUUCUGCAUCUUUACCUCUAACAUUUAGCCUCUAAUCAGGUCAAGUUAUAUUGAGUAUCCAUUUUUAUUUCUACACUUUUACCUAUCUGUAUACAGAUCAGUGGUUGUGGGUCAGUUAUUUUUGGUUGUAGCAUGAAUUGCCAUAUAUUUAUUGUUUGUUUACUAUAAUAAACAUAAUUUAUUUGCAUAUAA
Molecule: long non-coding RNA, 974 nt
Organism: Dalotia coriaria
Lineage: Eukaryota; Metazoa; Arthropoda; Insecta; Coleoptera; Staphylinidae
Exons: 2
Source: RefSeq, a predicted model, not a curated record